Molecule: unclassified non-coding RNA, 146 nt
Filed under: uncultured Capnodiaceae
Lineage: Eukaryota; Fungi; Ascomycota; Dothideomycetes; Capnodiales; Capnodiaceae
Description: sequence contains ITS2
Source: RNAcentral
CACCAAUCAAGCCUCGCUUGGUUUUGGGCGAUGCGCACGUCGCACGCCUCAAAUGCCCCGGCCGAGCAGUCUCUCUUCCGGCGUCGUGGAAACAUAUCGCUACGGAGACGAGACCUGCACGUGCCGCAGAAUAAACCAUUUACAAA